This 537-nucleotide long non-coding RNA is filed under the name Piliocolobus tephrosceles (Ugandan red Colobus). RNAcentral's name for it is "lncRNA (ENSPTEG00000038845.1)". The record is from RNAcentral. Lineage: Eukaryota; Metazoa; Chordata; Mammalia; Primates; Cercopithecidae.
CUCUGGGUCCCAGUCGCUGACUGCAAAAGGAAGCCAAAACUGACAACAACGUUUCCUUCUCUACGGAGGUUUGUAGAAAAGCUGUACAAAAAUCUCACAAGAUGUAUUUCUUCUCGUGGACUGGAGUCCCAAGUCUGUUUAUCCAGCCUGGGGAAGAAACUGGCUCCAUUUAAACAAUGGGACAAAAAAGGUGCAAACUUGACCAGCUUCCCUACCUUUUUUGCAUUAGCGUGGUCAAACAUUUUGCAUCCAGGAAAAGUACUGCAGAAAAUCACACUGUGGGCAGCUAUCUGGUAUGUUGUUAUUUGAAUAUUUGAAUACAAAUAGGAAGACUGGAAAGGAGAAAGUUACUGUGUACACAGAUACAUAGUAACUUAUAUAUACUUAAAACAACUUUUUUUUUUUUUUUUUUUUUUUUUUUACAGAUUUCUAAUAGUCUGCUAAGUCCUCUUUCUGAUUGAUGAUUUUUGUGUGUGUGAAAUUCUCUAAAUAUUUAUUUGUAUUCCUAGAAAGUGAAAAUGAAUAUAAAUGCUAAAG